RNAcentral lists this ribosomal RNA (437 nucleotides) under uncultured bacterium. RNAcentral's name for it is "partial 16S ribosomal RNA". It matches the Rfam family "Bacterial small subunit ribosomal RNA", at positions 29 to 507 of the family's 1533-position model. The record is from RNAcentral.
AGCGAACGCUGGCGGCAGGCUUAACACAUGCAAGUCGAGCGGGCAUCCUUGUGGUGUCAGCGGCAGACGGGUGAGUAACGCGUGGGAACGUGCCCUUCGGUUCGGAAUAACUCAGGGAAACUUGAGCUAAUACCGGAUACGUGCGAGAGCAGAAAGGAUUAUCUGCCGAAGGAUCGGCCCGCGUCUGAUUAGCUAGUUGGUGAGGUUACGGCUCACCAAGGCGACGAUCAGUAGCUGGUCUGAGAGGAUGAUCAGCCACACUGGGACUGAGACACGGCCCAGACUCCUACGGGAGGCAGCAGUGGGGAAUAUUGGACAAUGGGGGCAACCCUGAUCCAGCCAUGCCGCGUGAGUGAUGACGGCCUUAGGGUUGUAAAGCUCUUUUCUCCGGGACGAUAAUGACGGUACCGGAGGAAUAAGCCCCGGCUAACUUCGUG